This 322-nucleotide ribosomal RNA is filed under the name uncultured bacterium. RNAcentral's name for it is "bacterial SSU rRNA". It matches the Rfam family "Bacterial small subunit ribosomal RNA", at positions 190 to 507 of the family's 1533-position model. The record is from RNAcentral.
CGGGGGACUCGCAAGAGCCUCGCGCGAUUGGAGCGGCCGAUAUCAGAUUAGGUAGUUGGUGGGGUAAAGGCUCACCAAGCCAACGAUCUGUAGCUGGUCUGAGAGGACGACCAGCCACACUGGAACUGAGACACGGUCCAGACUCCUACGGGAGGCAGCAGUGGGGAAUUUUUGGACAAUGGACGCAAGUCUGAUCCAGCCAUUCCGCGUGCAGGAUGAAGGCCCUCGGGUUGUAAACUGCUUUUGUACGGAACGAAAAGGUUUCUAUUAAUACUAGGAGCUCAUGACGGUACCGUAAGAAUAAGCACCGGCUAACUACGUG